CCAGCAGCACCACGCGGUAGAGGGCCUCCCAGGAGCCCUCCGAGUCGCUGGAUUCAGAGGACCAGCCGUCGGGGGCAGGCAUGUAGGAGGAGGAAAGACACACUGUGGUCUUGGUUAUGGAAGAGAAGUUGGCUGUAGUGGCCUCCCCGAAGCCCUGUGGCCAUGACACAGCUGCUUCUGCUCAUUGUGUUUCUCCUGGUCCUGGGUCAUGUGCCUCCAGGGAGAAGCGAAUUCAAACGGUGCUGGAAUGGCCAGGGAGCCUGCCGGACUUACUGCACCAAGUAUGAAACCUUCAUGCACCUGUGCCCAGAUGCCUCCCUGUGCUGUAUCCCCUAUGGACUCAAGCCUCCAGUGCCCCAUAAGCCAGAGAAUGUGUAGCUGGUUCUGAGGCUGGCACACUUGCUCUUCAUAAAAUACAUGCUGCCCAUCGUC
This is a long non-coding RNA of Myotis brandtii (Brandt's bat), 432 nucleotides long. RefSeq lists it as uncharacterized. The record is from RefSeq and is a predicted model, not a curated record. The transcript is spliced from 4 exons. NCBI's taxonomy places the organism in Eukaryota, Metazoa, Chordata, Mammalia, Chiroptera, Vespertilionidae.